Aethalodelphis obliquidens (Pacific white-sided dolphin) is the source of this 1072-nucleotide long non-coding RNA. RefSeq lists it as uncharacterized. Lineage: Eukaryota; Metazoa; Chordata; Mammalia; Artiodactyla; Delphinidae. The record is from RefSeq and is a predicted model, not a curated record. The transcript is spliced from 2 exons.
AAAAAACACAUCGUUUUAAAAAAAAACCCCAGAAACUCAGGGUCAGCCCCAGAACUGGUCCCCUUAUAUUUCCAAAACCAAACCCAGAGUCUCUGGCCCUGGAGCUCUUACUGGAAAGAGCCGCCCCCCGGCGUCAUCACCUUCAAAAAUUAUACCUCACCCUGGGCGUGAAGUGGCUUCUGUGGCCUACAAAGGUGGCCCCUGUCGAUAUCCCUGUCAGCCCACAGGCCAUACCAAACGACCCGUAUUUACUUGCCCCCAAAAAAACCCCACAAGAUACCGUGGAGGAUGCCAUUCAGUUCUGCUAUCUUCUUCGUUCCUAUAUCCCAGUAUAAUGUCCACCGUUUCCACCGUAACAAUUUCAUAAAGAACUGAUGAUUAAGGAGCGUGUGCGCGCACGCGCCCCCUCCUCGCACACACACCCCUCCCUCUGCAGCAGCUCGGCCUACACUGCAGCUUCACUGCCCUAAAAACCACUCACGGCGCGCAGAUCGGUUUUGCCCUGGACACCAAAGAAAUCCUCCAGAUUUGAGCCACUUGGUGGCGAAACACGAACUGUUGGCACUUCCCAUCAGGGUGGGGCGGAGCAGAUAUUUCUAGCUCUCAGGAAACUGGAGUUUAACUCAUAUAGUUUAGCUGACUCGUGCAGCGGAACUCUCAAAGACUAGAUUUCUUUCGUCUGAGGAAAGAAGAUGCCUCUUAGAGCAACCAUCUGUGCUGCGCUCGCGGAGAGAAAACACAAAGAGAAGCAUUUAGAACGAGUCAGCCCGGGCCGCGCGAACAAUGGAGAGUCACAGCGGGGCCUCCUAGAUGGGCCUCCCAGCCAGCCGCGGCGGCGUCUACACCCGCUCCGGGCACCAGGGACGCUUCCAAAAAGAGUCGUGGGAUCUCAUUCCCAGAGGCCAGGGUCGCUGCGGCGCAGGAAAAAAAAACGCCCGGAGACCCCAAAUCGACUCCCACGCCGACGCCGGGGGUGGGAAGGACCCUGUACAUGUUCUCCUCACUCACCAAAAACUAUCCUGAAAAAAGGCGCAAGGGCCCAGAUCACAGCCUCGGCUUCCAGGCCAGGGGU